CCUACGGGUGGCAGCAGUGGGGAAUUUUGCGCAAUGCUCGUAACAGUGACGCAGCAACGCCGCGUGAGUGACGAAGGCCUUCGGGUCGUAAAGUUCUUUCGACAGGGAAGAAAAUGCCUAUAAGUAACUGUUUAUGUCUUGACGGUACCUUUCUAAGCACCACCGGCUAACUCCGUGCCAGCAGCCGCGGUAAUACGGAGGGGGCGAGCGUUGUUCGGGGUGACUGGGCGUAAAGAGCACGUAGGCGGUGUUGGAAGUCAUGAGACAAAGACUAGAGCUAAACUUUAGUAAGGCUAGUGAUACUAUAAUACUAGAGUAUCAGAGAGGAUGGUAGAAUUCCUGGUGUAGCGGUAAAAUGCGUAGAGAUCAGGAGGAAUACCGGUAGCGAAGGCGGCAAUCUGGCUGGAAACUGACGCUGAGGUGCGAAAGCGUGGGUAGCAAACAGGAUUAGAUACCCGAGUAGUC
RNAcentral lists this ribosomal RNA (465 nucleotides) under uncultured bacterium. RNAcentral's name for it is "partial 16S ribosomal RNA". It matches the Rfam family "Bacterial small subunit ribosomal RNA", at positions 338 to 795 of the family's 1533-position model. The record is from RNAcentral.